This 623-nucleotide ribosomal RNA is filed under the name uncultured bacterium. Its description in RNAcentral is "bacterial SSU rRNA". It matches the Rfam family "Bacterial small subunit ribosomal RNA", at positions 109 to 728 of the family's 1533-position model. The record is from RNAcentral.
AGUAAUGCAUAGAAUCUGCCCGGUUGUGGAGGGAUAACCUGAGGAAACUCAGGCUAAUACCGCAUACGCCCUACGGGGGAAAGCAGGGGAUCUUCGGACCUUGCGCUAUCGGAUGAGCAUAUGUCGGAUUAGCUUGUUGGUGAGGUAAUGGCUCACCAAGGCCGCGAACCGUAGCUGGUCUGAGAGGAUGAUCAGCACAUCGGGACUGAGACACGGCCCGAACUCCUACGGGAGGCAGCAGUGGGGAAUAUUGGACAAUCGGCGAAAUGCCUGAUCCAGCCAUGCCGCGUGUGUGAAGAAGGCCUUCCGGUUGUAAAGCACUUUCAGUGAGGAAGAACGCCUCUGGGCUAAUACCCCAGAGGGAAGACAUCACUCACAGAUGAAGCACCGGCUAACUCCGUGCCAGCAGCCGCGGUUAUACGGAGGGUGCGAGCGUUAAUCGGAAUUACAGGGCGUAAAGCGCGCGUAGGCGGCGUGAUAAGCCGGAUGUGAAAGCCCGGGCUCAACCUGGGAACGGCAUCCGGAACUGUCAGCCUAGAGUGCAGGAGAGGUAAGGUAGAAUUCCCGGUGUAGCGGUGAAAUGCGUAGAGAUCGGGAGGAAUACCAGUGGGGAAGGCGGCCUU